This 274-nucleotide ribosomal RNA is filed under the name uncultured bacterium. RNAcentral's name for it is "partial 16S ribosomal RNA". It matches the Rfam family "Bacterial small subunit ribosomal RNA", at positions 523 to 796 of the family's 1533-position model. The record is from RNAcentral.
AUACGGAGGGUGCAAGCGUUAAUCGGAAUUACUGGGCGUAAAGCGUACGUAGGCGGUUCGUUAAGUCAGAAGUGAAAGCCCUGGGCUCAACCUGGGAACGGCUUUUGAGACUGGCAGACUCGAGUUGAGUAGAGGGGAGUUGAAUUUCCGGUGUAGCGGUGAAAUGCGUAGAGAUCGGAAGGAACACCAGUGGCGAAGGCGACUCCCUGGACUCAAACUGACGCUGAGGUACGAAAGCGUGGGUAGCAAACAGGAUUAGAAACCCUAGUAGUCC